GGCCUUUACUGACGCUAAAGCUCGAAGGUGCGGGUAUCGAACAGGAUUAGAUACCCUGGUAGUCCGCACGGUAAACGAUGGAUGCCCGCUGUUCGCGAUAUAUUGUGAGCGGCCAAGAGAAAUCGUUAAGCAUCCCACCUGGGGAGUACGCCGGCAACGGUGAAACUCAAAGGAAUUGACGGGGGCCCGCACAAGCGGAGGAACAUGUGGUUUAAUUCGAUGAUACGCGAGGAACCUUACCCGGGCUUGAACUGCAGCAGGAGGAUUCAGAGAUGAUGACGCCCUUCGGGGCUGCUGUGGAGGUGCUGCAUGGUUGUCGUCAGCUCGUGCCGUGAGGUGUCGGCUUAAGUGCCAUAACGAGCGCAACCCUUUCCGUCAGUUGCCAUCAGGUAAUGCUGGGCACUCUGUCGGUACUGCCACCGUAAGGUGUGAGGAAGGUGGGGAUGACGUCAAAUCAGCACGGCCCUUACGUCCGGGGCUACACACGUGUUACAAUGGGGCAUACAGAAGGCCGGUCACUGGCAACGGUGGUCAAAUCUUAAAAGUGCUCCUCAGUUCGGAUUGGGGUCUGCAACCCGACCCCAUGAAGCUGGAUCGCUAG
Molecule: ribosomal RNA, 601 nt
Filed under: uncultured bacterium
Lineage: Bacteria
Description: bacterial SSU rRNA
Rfam family: Bacterial small subunit ribosomal RNA
Source: RNAcentral